RNAcentral lists this ribosomal RNA (253 nucleotides) under uncultured bacterium. Its description in RNAcentral is "partial 16S ribosomal RNA". It matches the Rfam family "Bacterial small subunit ribosomal RNA", at positions 524 to 776 of the family's 1533-position model. The record is from RNAcentral.
UACGUAGGUGGCAAGCGAUACUCGGAAUCACUAGGCGUAAAGCGCAGGUAGGCGGUUCGGUAAGUCUUUUGUGAAAGCUCCUGGCUCAACUGGGAGAGGUCAAGGGAAACUACCGGACUAGAGUGUGGUAGGGGAUACUGGAAUUCCUGGUGUAGCGGUGAAAUGCGUAGAUAUCAGGAGGAAUACCUAUGGCGAAAGCAGGUAUCUGGGCCAUCACUGACGCUGAGCUGCGAAAGCUAGGGGAGCAAACAGG